GACGAACGCUGGCGGCGUGCUUAACACAUGCAAGUCGAACGGUAAGGCCCUUCGGGGUACACGAGUGGCGAACGGGUGAGUAACACGUGGGUGAUCUGCCCUGCACUUCGGGAUAAGCCUGGGAAACUGGGUCUAAUACCGGAUAGGACCAUGGACUUCACGGUUUGUGGUGGAAAGCUUUUGCGGUGUGGGAUGGGCCCGCGGCCUAUCAGCUUGUUGGUGGGGUAAUGGCCUACCAAGGCGACGACGGGUAGCCGGCCUGAGAGGGUGUCCGGCCACACUGGGACUGAGAUACGGCCCAGACUCCUAC
This 310-nucleotide ribosomal RNA is filed under the name uncultured bacterium. RNAcentral describes it as "bacterial SSU rRNA". It matches the Rfam family "Bacterial small subunit ribosomal RNA", at positions 28 to 342 of the family's 1533-position model. The record is from RNAcentral.